AAGUCAAAACUUUCAACAACGGAUCUCUUGGUUCUGGCAUCGAUGAAGAACGCAGCGAAAUGCGAUAAGUAAUGUGAAUUGCAGAAUUCAGUGAAUCAUCGAAUCUUUGAACGCACAUUGCGCCCGCCAGUAUUCUGGCGGGCAUGCCUGUUCGAGCGUCAUUUCAACCAUCAAGCCCCCGGCUUGUGUUGGGGACCUGCGGCUGCCGCAGGCCCUGAAAACCAGUGGCGGGCUCGCUGUCACCCCGAGCGUAGUAGUUACAUCUCGCUCUGGGCGUGCUGCGGGUUCCGGCCGUUAAAAGCCUUAUUUACCCAAGGUUGACCUCGGAUCAGGUAGGAAGACCCGCUGAACUUAA
RNAcentral lists this small RNA (355 nucleotides) under uncultured fungus. RNAcentral's name for it is "eukaryotic LSU rRNA". The stretch from base 8 to 161 matches the Rfam family "5.8S ribosomal RNA". The record is from RNAcentral. Lineage: Eukaryota; Fungi.